This 491-nucleotide ribosomal RNA is filed under the name uncultured bacterium. Its description in RNAcentral is "bacterial SSU rRNA". It matches the Rfam family "Bacterial small subunit ribosomal RNA", at positions 15 to 507 of the family's 1533-position model. The record is from RNAcentral.
GAUCAUGGCUCAGAUUGAACGCUGGCGGAAUGCUUUACACAUGCAAGUCGAACGGUAGAGGGGCAACCCCUCGAGAGUGGCGAACGGGUGAGUAAUAUAUCGGAACGUGCCCAGUCGUGGGGGAUAACGUAGCGAAAGUUACGCUAAUACCGCAUACGAUCUAUGGAUGAAAGCGGGGGACCGUAAGGCCUCGCGCGAUUGGAGCGGCCGAUGUCAGAUUAGCUAGUUGGUGGGGUAAAGGCCCACCAAGGCGACGAUCUGUAGCUGGUCUGAGAGGACGACCAGCCACACUGGGACUGAGACACGGCCCAGACUCCUACGGGAGGCAGCAGUGGGAAUUUUGGACAAUGGGCGCAAGCCUGAUCCAGCAAUGCCGCGUGCAGGAAGAAGGCCUUCGGGUUGUAAACUGCUUUUGUACGGAACGAAAAGGUCUGGGUUAAUACCCUGGGCUCAUGACGGUACCGUAAGAAUAAGCACCGGCUAACUACGUG